This 499-nucleotide ribosomal RNA is filed under the name uncultured Glomeromycotina. RNAcentral describes it as "partial small subunit ribosomal RNA". It matches the Rfam family "Eukaryotic small subunit ribosomal RNA", at positions 591 to 1092 of the family's 1831-position model. The record is from RNAcentral. Lineage: Eukaryota; Fungi; Glomeromycota.
CCAAUAGCGUAUAUUAAAGUUGUUGCAGUUAAAAAGCUCGUAGUUGAACUUCGGAAUCAAUUAGUUGGUCAUGCCUUGGUAUGUACUGAUUUUAUUGGUUCUCACCUUCUAAAGAACCAUAAUGUCAUUUAUUUGAUGUUAUGGGGAAUUAGGACUGUUACCUUGAAAAAAUUAGAGUGUUUAAAGCAGGCUAACGCUUGAAUACAUUAGCAUGGAAUAAUGAAAUAGGAAAUCGCAUUCUAUUUUGUUGGUUUCUAGGAUCGAUGUAAUGAUUAAUAGGGAUAGUUGGGGGCAUUAGUAUUCAAUUGUCAGAGGUGAAAUUCUUGGAUUUAUUGAAGACUAACUACUGCGAAAGCAUUUGCCAAGGAUGUUUUCAUUAAUCAAGAACGAAAGUUAGGGGAUCGAAGACGAUCAGAUACCGUCGUAGUCUUAACCAUAAACUAUGCCGACUAGGGAUCGGAUGAUGUUGAUUUUUUAAUGACUCAUUCGGCACCUUACG